RNAcentral lists this long non-coding RNA (6685 nucleotides) under Podarcis lilfordi (Lilford's wall lizard). The record is from RNAcentral. Lineage: Eukaryota; Metazoa; Chordata; Lepidosauria; Squamata; Lacertidae.
UAUCUGGAAGAUGAGGGAUGGAGUGCUCCCCAUGGCAAUGGGUGGGUAGAUAAAAUUACUGAUUUUCUCCCAUUAUUUCUCCUUCACCUUAAAAAUAUAUAUAUAAUAAUUUUAUUUGUACAUCCCCCCCCAUCUGACUGGGUUGCCCCAACCACACUGGUGCUUAUUUUGCUAUAAGAAGGGGAAAGUAAUGGAUGGAAAUGAGUACAUAAUGUUUCAUCCCUGUGUGAGCAGAACCUGACAAAGGGAAAUACAUGACUGAACAGGAAGAAAUUAGAGAGCAAGAAUUUAUAAGGAAGAAGCCUUUAAUUAACAUUGGAAAGGGUCCCUUGCUGGAGUUAUUUGAGAGUAAAACAAAUAGAAGAAUCUUGGCCGUUUUAGAUAAUGUGUUAAAUACUGUGUAGAACCUCUGGGAUGUAUUUAAAUGAAUAAUUGCACUAGCAGAAAAAAGUGCAACAGAUUCUUCUAAAGCAAAGGAACCCCCCCAUUUCCCAUGCCCCACCGCACCCUCCUAAAAUCAGCUCUGGAAGGUCAGGAGAACCCCAAAACAGUGCUUGAGGAGAGGAAGAAGAGGGAUUGUUCUGCUGGGCAAAUGUAUGAUCUCCUUCAUACAACCGCCUAUUUUUAAUUCCACCUCCAGCUCACUGAAGUAAUGUAAAUGCCUCUGCAAUGCUAAAGGACAGUGUUGCGGAAGCAACAAUCCUUUCCUUGCUGUUCAAAAUCUGAAAUAAUUAAGAUUCAUCAGGAUAAUUGGACCACAACUGAGACAGUUGUGGCAGAUGCAGGGCUUCCCUGGAAAACAGGAGUCCAACAUCUUGUUCCCUCUUCCCCUGGUAAUAAUCUAGAUUCACAAAGUAUGUGGUGCACCCUAAUCUUGCUUUGGAGUUUUCCUACCCCCACCAAUGAAGUUGCAGAAGGAGUCAGGGCAACUCAGAGCAUGAGUGUCAGAGGAGAGCAGCUAAUUUGUUUUGUAUCAUUGAACAUCGUGAAAGCUGUUGAGAACUGAUUCAUAACCUCACCUACCCUAUCCUGGAGGAUGCUUUGGGCCAUGAUUGUAGAGAGUAACACUGGGAUGCAACAGAACCCCAGGAACAGGGUUCUAAGCAUUGCAUUUCUGUCCUAUGUCAGUGUUGUCUUGAAUAACAACAGGUUUCUACCACUGCCACCACCCUGAUUAUUAUUUUUUAAAUAAUUGAAGAGAAAUGUGGAAACGAACAGUAUUAAGUGCAGCUCUGGUAGAUUCUGAGUUAUGGGACAGGCCUUGUUUUGAAGGCAGGUCCUCCUAAUGUGGUGGGUUAGACAGCAGCUUAAAGCACCAGUGUUGGAACAUGGAUUAGGAUUGACCCUUCAGAUCUUGGAGCACCAUCCUAGCUUGUUCUUGGUUUGUCCUCUGCCACUAACUUCCAUGCAGCUACCUUCCCUGCUCAGCCUUGGGUGAGUCAUGGAACUGUGGUAGGCAAUGGGUAGUGUCUUUCAUUUUUGUAUUUCAUGGGCCUUCAGCUGCCCAAAGAUCUUGACUCAGAGCCUCAACUUGGGUAGCUGUUGUGUCUUCUCCCCUCUCUAAUAUUGUGGAGCCAUCUCAGAACAGCCUCCUCCCUUUUGUUGAUUACCUCCCCGAUACAAGUUGUCACAAUGAGCUCAGAUAGUUGUCGUGGAAGUUUCCUUUCUCAUUGGCCCAGGCUGCAAAUCUCCCGACUUGUUAGCAUAAUAACAGAAGUAUUUCAAGUAGAAAUAAUGCACAAAUGAUUAGGUAAUGAGGAGACGGUGAUGGCGGAAAUCACUACUUAGAAAUUGUUAAAUGAUAAUACAUUCCCCCCAAACCCAGAUCAGACAGGCCAAGAAGAAUUUAAUUUUCUGCCCACUUAAAUGUACAGAGAAAUGUCUUCUUUUCGGAGUGCUAUUUCAUUGGCCAUCUAAUUGACUAGUAAAUAGAAACUUUAGCUUUCCUUUUCCUACGCAGCUUGCAAUUUCUUCCCUGAUUUCUGCAUAAGUGUGCUUUGUGAGGCUUCGUUGAUGUGAUUCUGAACCCCGUAGUGUGUGGCAUGCAUACGGUAGCCAGCUAUGAUGCGUUACGAAUACUUGGAAGAAGAAGAACAUCAGCUUCAAGGCCUGUUAACCAAUUCGUGCAUUGUUUCAUCUUGUUUUAAAAUCCCUCUGUGUAGGAAUUGCUAAAACUACUGUAAAUUCCUUUCCAGAUUGUGAACAAUAUAUGCAUUACAUUAUCGCAAUAAGUCCCAAGCUCUGGGCUAGGGCACACAUGCAAGAGAACUUCUAGUGUGCCAGAAGAAAUAAAAGACUCCUGUGAUCCCAAAGUGCCUAGAAGAGACUGCCGCCCACAUCUCUGCAUGAUUUACUGGGACUGCCUCUUUCCGAUCAGCCUCAACUCAGGGUGAUUGGAUCAUAUAAUCCCUCCCCAUGAUGAGACAUAGUAGAGUUACCUGCUUUCAGAAGAGGCAUUCCUAGAACAGUGACUCGUGCAGUUCUAAGGGCGCUUCCAGACAACCCGUUUCUUGUGCAUUCAUCCUCAUUGGUUUUGCAGGAGCCAGUGUGGUGUAGUGUGGGAGCCAGUGUGGUGUAGUGGCUAAGAGCGGUGGACUUGUAAUCUGGUGAACCGGGUUCGCUUCCCCGCUCCUCCACACGCAGUUGCUGGGUGACCUUGGGCUAGUCACGCUUCUCUGAAGUCUCUCAGCCCCACUCACCUCACAGAGUGUUUGUUGUGGGGGAGGAAGGGAAAGGAGAAUGUUAGCCGCUUUGAGACUCCUUCGGGUAGUAAUAAAGUGGGAUAUCAAACCCAAACUCUUCUUCUUCUUCUUGCAGGGAGAUUAGAUGACACUGGCUAUUCUCAGAAUCACAGACUUGAAGGGACCACAAGGGUCAUCUGGUCCAAGCAUCUGCCAUUCAGGAAUCUUUGGCCCAAUGCGGGGCUCAAACCCAAAAUCCUGAGAUUAAGUGCCUUGUGCUUUACCGACUGAGCAAUGAGCAUUCAUUCUGAUUUGCUUGUGGAGAGGUUAGGCAACAUUUGCAUCAGCAACAUUGCAUCAUUUUCCUUACCACAAAAAGUCGGAUCUUUGGGGGGAAGCAGGUUUGCUGCACAAGAUCUCCUAAUCAAUUACAAUGGUGCAAGCUGAAUUUGCAGGCGUGUGAUUGAAUCCCACCCCCAAAACAGUGACGGCCUGGAAGCGCCCUAAGUUCUCACGGAAUAGCUCUCGCUGUUUUUCUACAUUCCCGCUAAUAUGCACUCAACCACAUGAGUUGGAAGCAAAGUAUAAGAACAUAAGAGAAUCAGGCCACAUCUAGUCCAGCAAUCUCUUUUCACAGUGGCUAACUGGAUGCCUAUGGGAAGCCCAAUAGGAUAAGGCUACCAGACAUCCCCGUUUCCCGGGGAGAGUCCCCGGAUUUACAAAUCAGUCCCCAUACAAAAUCCAUUGAAGUUGAAAAGUGUCCCCGUAUUCAUUGAAAAAAAAUCUGGUAACCUUACAAUAGGAGGACCUGAGUGCAACAGUACUCUGUUUACUUAUGGUUCCCAGUGACUUGUAUUUAGUGGUAUUCAGCCUGCAACGAUGGAGGGAGAACAUGGCCAUUAUGGUUUGUAUCUUGGAGGCAAGACAACUAGGUUUAAAGGGGUGAUGCCUUUCACAUCUCCAUAAAUGUGUGUCCUCCCUGUUACAUAGGUAUAAAACACUCAGAAUUUAGGACUGUAAAUGCCAUAGAGCACUGCAGGGGAAGCCGGGGCCAGAGAAGUGAAUUAUGACUUUUAUUCUCUCUGGUCAGCACAAUUGUGCUCUAAUUCCAGGUUUGGUUGGAGCUAUGAACAGGAGUGGGCCUCCUAGGGAGUGGGAAUACACUGCAAAGUUUGAAUCCCCGCGACGGGGUGAGCUCCCGUUGCUCGGUCCCUGCUCCUGCCAACCUAGCAGUUCGAAAGCAUGUCAAAGUGCAAGUAGAUAAAUAGGUACCACUCUGGUGGGAAGGUAAACAGCGUUUUCAUGCGCUGCUCUGGUUUGCCAGAAGCGGCUUAGUCAUGCUGGCCCCAUGACCCGGAAGCUGUACGCCGGCUCCCUCAGACAAUAAAGCGAGAUGAGCACCUCAACCCCAGAGUUGGCCACGACUGGACCUAAUGGUCAGGGGUCCCUUUACCUUUAUGAACAGGAGCAGGCCUCCUAGGGAGUGGGAAUACAUUGCAAAGUUUUGUUGUACAUCACACUAUACGUUUAAUGCACAUUCAAAGCACACAUUCUUUCCCUCAGAGAAUUCUGGGCGCUGUAGUUUACCCCUCACAGAUUUACAAUUCCCAGCAGCCCUGAACAAACUAAAGUGCCCAUAAUUCUUUGAGGGGGGAAAUGUAUUUCGAAGGUGCUUUAUAAGUGUGCACGCAGCCUUAUUCUCUCUAAAAGUGAACCCUUUCGGAGUGAAGAUGUUUCUCCCAUUUUCAGCCAGGAAAAGGUGUGCCUUGGGUAUUUACACGUUUCAGCAACAUUGCUUAUUAAGAACAGUUGCAUUGGUAGACAUUUGUAUUUUUUUGAAUAUGGAGUUAUGGGGGAAAUGGUUUAAGAAUGUGAUGCUUGCCUUGCAGGAUCAAAUCAAUUGCAUUGCCUCUGAAUAUGGAAGUUGAUAGACUUCUCCUCUUGGCAUUUUUCUAAUCCUUUAAAAAAGUCAGGCUAAUGACCAUUAUCACAUCUUAUGGUAUUGAAUUUCAAAGGUGAACUGCACUGUCACACAGAAGUGUUUGUUUGUGUUAAACAUCCAGAAGGACGGGUUGGGUUCCCCAAAUGGAAAUGGUAGGCCUUUGGUUUUAGAAUGAGGCUUGUGUGUGUCAAUUGUGGUGCGCUAGGAUAUUCUUUCCCCUCAAAUGGUGAUCACCUCCAGAAGACUGUGAAUUUUACCUCUGGUGGAUAGAAGUGGCACCUUCUAAUAGGGAUCACCAGAAUCCAUUCCUAACCCACCUAAGCUUGAAUUCUCAAGAAAGAUUGCUUUUCAAAUUGGGCAAACAAUAUUGGUCUACUUUGAAUGAUUGUAUCUUGGGUAAGAAAUCUGACUUAUGGGUGUGCAUUUUGCCCAUGUGUGUAGCUCUCAGACUAGAAAGCGCCCAAUUUCCCCAUGUUUAGGAACUUUGGAACAAAGCAAGAUUUCAAAUGACUGUUUCCUACUCCUUGUUAAUUAGAGACUUCUUGUUUAAUUGCCAUUCAUGUCAAGGGAGGAGAAAGGCCUUAUGUAUGUGGCUAAAAUACUUGUUUAUAUCUCGGCUUUUAAUGAGUGGCGAUUGUCCAAAGCAGGCCACUGUGUUCUAUUGUAGGGGAGCAUAACUUUGGUAUUUUUAUGGGGGUUGAGUUUAAAGGUGUGGGGCCAAAGAACUGGUAGACCUUGAAGCUGUGGGGAGCUGCCAAUUCAAAAGUUCGAUGUUUGCUAUGUGUACUCAUUGUUGACUGCGAGCUGUCAAAUUGUUCCAUGAAAAUGGUGGAUUGUGUGUUGCCUUGCUUGGAAGGCAAUAAUUUGGAUGGAAGGGGUGGGCUAUGGAUAUUUGAGCAAAUGCUGAAAUAUAGAGUUGCUUCCACCCUGCAUUGUUUUUAGUUUUAAAACUGAAGCAUUUCCUGAGGUUCUUUCAUCACUGGAUCUCAUUUGUGUGUCAGUUCCAAUGCACAGUACCAGUUCCCACAAUUUUCCUCAGCAUGAUUCUCAAUAAGCAUAAUAAGAACGUGUAGUGUAUUGCCACUUAGAGCAAACAUUUGAAGCAGAGGCUCAUACCUUUGACUUGUCAGCCGAGCCAUUAUUUCUGCUGUGAACUCUCGCAGAUUCCUAAUAUUACCAAAUGAGCCCUAUAUAUCCUUGUCUGGCAAGAGAUGUCAAGAAGGGUGAAUAUGAUUUCUUGAGAUGUUAUCAUUAUUUUAAGGCAAAAAGCUUCCAAGAAGGUGAUAGCAGAGCAACAGUGAGAACCUAUUCUCUUCGGGGUGGAGGAAAAAGUCAAACACGAGACUGAAGCCUGACUGACGGGAUUUCUGGGGCAAUGAAAAUUGUGAAGCUUUCGUUUGUGCAUGUAUCUACAUUAUUACCAUGUCGAGCACUGCCACAUUGAAAAGAAAAUAUGUUGGGUGCGGGGAGAUGCAAUGCCGCUUUCAGCAAAUAUUUAUUUCGGGAGUAAUGGGUUAGUAGUCUUAAAAAGAAGAAUCAGUGGCAGGGCUGGAUCAUAGUUUUGACAGUUAUAACCGAAAGGCUUUCAUCAGUAAUGUCUGCCAUAAACUUCCUGCAUGGCAAAGGUCCUGUAAACAUCCCUCUUGUGUAGGUGGUCCUCCUAUCCAUGCCAAAUAAAGAGAUGUCAUAAUAACAUUUGUCUCUGCCUUGCUUUUCAUUUGCAGCUGCUGUCUAUUCUAUAACACAAUGACUACAAUAACAUUAACAAUUGAUUUGGGGUAGGAUCAGGGGCAGGUGUUUCCUGGGUCAGGGUGGUGAUGGAGAGAGCUAACAGCCCUAGGAACUAACAAAAUGCCUUAUCCAUUCACAAAUCUCAGCAUUGUUCUGGUUUCUAAGAAUUCCCAAGCACCACUGGAAACUUUCCUUUACUUGGAUCAUAUAAUGCUUUUCAAAGUGUGUGCUAAUCUAUUAUGGAACGCUGGUCUUCACAGCCUUGGAAUUCAUUCUGCGCUGUUACUUUUUUGUGAUAUACCACACUGGGACCGUUGUAUAUUAUGUAGCU